RNAcentral lists this transfer RNA (76 nucleotides) under candidate division WWE3 bacterium. RNAcentral's name for it is "tRNA-Ala". It matches the Rfam family "tRNA". From Rfam's summary of the family: Transfer RNA (tRNA) molecules are approximately 80 nucleotides in length. Their secondary structure includes four short double-helical elements and three loops (D, anti-codon, and T loops). The record is from RNAcentral. Lineage: Bacteria; candidate division WWE3.
GGGCCGUUAGCUUAGUUGGUAGAGCGCUGCAUUCGCAUUGCAGAGAUCAGCAGUUCGAUUCUGCUACGGUCCACCA